UGGGGAAUAUUGCGCAAUGGGCGAAAGCCUGACGCAGCGACGCCGCGUGAGGGAUGAAGGUUUUCGGAUCGUAAACCUCUGUCAGAAGGGAAGAAACCGCACUGUGCUAAUCAGCAGUGCCUUGACGGUACCUUCAAAGGAAGCACCGGCUAACUCCGUGCCAGCAGCCGCGGUAAUACGGAGGGUGCAAGCGUUAAUCGGAAUUACUGGGCGUAAAGCGCACGUAGGCUGCUUUGUAAGUCAGGGGUGAAAUCCCACGGCUCAACCGUGGAACUGCCUUUGAUACUGCUUAGCUUGAAUCCGGCAGAGGGUGGCGGAAUUCCAGGUGUAGGAGUGAAAUCCGUAGAUAUCUGGAGGAACAUCAGUGGCGAAGGCGGCCACCUGGACCGGUAUUGACGCUGAUGUGCGAAAGCGUGGGGAGCAAACAGG
RNAcentral lists this ribosomal RNA (429 nucleotides) under Fusobacteriota bacterium. RNAcentral's name for it is "Fusobacteria bacterium partial 16S ribosomal RNA". It matches the Rfam family "Bacterial small subunit ribosomal RNA", at positions 355 to 776 of the family's 1533-position model. The record is from RNAcentral. Lineage: Bacteria; Fusobacteriati; Fusobacteriota.